RNAcentral lists this long non-coding RNA (1064 nucleotides) under Homo sapiens (human). Its description in RNAcentral is "non-protein coding lnc-GRM1-1:30". Lineage: Eukaryota; Metazoa; Chordata; Mammalia; Primates; Hominidae. The record is from RNAcentral.
GACCCCGCAGCGUCGUGGCUAGAGUAGGGUCUGGAGAGAGCUCCCACUGUGGCGAGUCCUGUCGUUGGAUUCCCGCGGCGCCCCGUAAGGCUCCGCCCCGGCGGUGCUACCAAACCCUGUUCGAUUUUAGAAUCGUACAUUCCCAGAGGGAAUCCUAGACCCCUCAUUUUACAGUUGAGGAAACAGGCCCAAGUAGCAUGACUUGUUCGCGCCGCUAGUCGAAGGAGCAGCAGCCCCGAUCCCUUGACUCUGGGGCACUGCUUUCCCUUUAGCUCAUUUUUGGAGGAAAUGGGUGCGCCCUUGCUCGACCUUUGGUGAUUGCCGCCACAGGCCUUCCCGCCGGCUAACUCAGCGUGCCCAAGUCCCGUGACUUAGUGCCAGGACGGUGCUGUGACCCGUUAUCCCCUGUCGGGUUUUACCUCCCCCCGGGAGAGCUCAGCCCUGGAUCCCGGCGGGCGGCGGAGCCUCUCUGGAGCCCGGACGGGACAGCCCACCAGGGUCUGCUUCUGUGAGGGGCCGAGGCGUCAUUCCGCGAAGGAAGCUGCUGGAAGGUACACAUCUUGGGAGUUUGCCCUUUGAAGCUCACCUGUGGACCUUUUUUCCUUUCGAAAAGAAGCAUAAGCUGCAAUAAAAAUUUGGUUUCAAGAUAACAAAGUCAGUCCCCAAAAAUCAGUAUUGAGAGUCACUGACAUUAAAUGAUGAAGAUACGAGGAUGGUGUGGGGACCUUUACUCUUCGAAGAUGAGCUAUACAUGCCCCUGAAAAGGCUGUCUGAAGACAGGGGAAGGCUGGAGAUGGCAACUUUGGCCUCUGCCAAGUACUCGUGCUAUUUUCUGUAUGUGAUACUAUCUGUUUUGUAACUCAGAGGCAACACCACAUACCUAGCAUAAGGCUUGAACUCCCUUUGGGGUUAUCAAUUACUUACAUAGCCUUCCUCUAAGGGAAGGCUUGCAAGUGGUUCAUAUUCGACCCUUCCAUGUGAUAAGCAUUCAUGUGGGCUUCACAAUGUAACAGAGGUACACAGAGAUUCUUGUAAACAGAAAAUUUUAUAAAACUGUUAACUGA